This 253-nucleotide ribosomal RNA is filed under the name uncultured bacterium. Its description in RNAcentral is "partial 16S ribosomal RNA". It matches the Rfam family "Bacterial small subunit ribosomal RNA", at positions 15 to 263 of the family's 1533-position model. The record is from RNAcentral.
AAUCAUGGCUCAGGACGAACGCUGGCGGCGCGCCUAACACAUGCAAGUCGAACGAGCGAGAGGAGGUUUACUUUCUCAAGCGAGUGGCGAACGGGUGAGUAACGCGUGAGGAACCUGCCUCAAAGAGGGGGACAACAGUUGGAAACGACUGCUAAUACCGCAUAAGCCCACGACCCGGCAUCGGGUAGAGGGAAAAGGAGCAAUCCGCUUUGAGAUGGCCUCGCGUCCGAUUAGCUAGUUGGUGAGGUAAUGG